This 1252-nucleotide ribosomal RNA is filed under the name Acinetobacter baumannii. RNAcentral describes it as "bacterial SSU rRNA". It matches the Rfam family "Bacterial small subunit ribosomal RNA", at positions 84 to 1332 of the family's 1533-position model. Lineage: Bacteria; Pseudomonadati; Pseudomonadota; Gammaproteobacteria; Moraxellales; Moraxellaceae. The record is from RNAcentral.
CAGGGCACCUAGCGGCGGACGGGUGAGUAAUGCUUAGGAAUCUGCCUAUUAGUGGGGGACAACAUCUCGAAAGGGAUGCUAAUACCGCAUACGUCCUACGGGAGAAAGCAGGGGAUCUUCGGACCUUGCGCUAAUAGAUGAGCCUAAGUCGGAUUAGCUAGUUGGUGGGGUAAAGGCCUACCAAGGCGACGAUCUGUAGCGGGUCUGAGAGGAUGAUCCGCCACACUGGGACUGAGACACGGCCCAGACUCCUACGGGAGGCAGCAGUGGGGAAUAUUGGACAAUGGGGGGAACCCUGAUCCAGCCAUGCCGCGUGUGUGAAGAAGGCCUUAUGGUUGUAAAGCACUUUAAGCGAGGAGGAGGCUACUCUAGUUAAUACCUAGAGAUAGUGGACGUUACUCGCAGAAUAAGCACCGGCUAACUCUGUGCCAGCAGCCGCGGUAAUACAGAGGGUGCGAGCGUUAAUCGGAUUUACUGGGCGUAAAGCGUGCGUAGGCGGCUUAUUAAGUCGGAUGUGAAAUCCCCGAGCUUAACUUGGGAAUUGCAUUCGAUACUGGUGAGCUAGAGUAUGGGAGAGGAUGGUAGAAUUCCAGGUGUAGCGGUGAAAUGCGUAGAGAUCUGGAGGAAUACCGAUGGCGAAGGCAGCCAUCUGGCCUAAUACUGACGCUGAGGUACGAAAGCAUGGGGAGCAAACAGGAUUAGAUACCCUGGUAGUCCAUGCCGUAAACGAUGUCUACUAGCCGUUGGGGCCUUUGAGGCUUUAGUGGCGCAGCUAACGCGAUAAGUAGACCGCCUGGGGAGUACGGUCGCAAGACUAAAACUCAAAUGAAUUGACGGGGGCCCGCACAAGCGGUGGAGCAUGUGGUUUAAUUCGAUGCAACGCGAAGAACCUUACCUGGCCUUGACAUACUAGAAACUUUCCAGAGAUGGAUUGGUGCCUUCGGGAAUCUAGAUACAGGUGCUGCAUGGCUGUCGUCAGCUCGUGUCGUGAGAUGUUGGGUUAAGUCCCGCAACGAGCGCAACCCUUUUCCUUACUUGCCAGCAUUUCGGAUGGGAACUUUAAGGAUACUGCCAGUGACAAACUGGAGGAAGGCGGGGACGACGUCAAGUCAUCAUGGCCCUUACGGCCAGGGCUACACACGUGCUACAAUGGUCGGUACAAAGGGUUGCUACACAGCGAUGUGAUGCUAAUCUCAAAAAGCCGAUCGUAGUCCGGAUUGGAGUCUGCAACUCGACUCCAUGAAGUUCCGGU